RNAcentral lists this ribosomal RNA (119 nucleotides) under Pteropus alecto (black flying fox). The record is from RNAcentral. Lineage: Eukaryota; Metazoa; Chordata; Mammalia; Chiroptera; Pteropodidae.
GUCUACAGCCAUGCCACCCUGAACAAGCCCGAUCCUGUCUGAUCUCAGAAGCUAAGCAGGGUCGGGCCUGGUUAGUACUUGGAUGGGAGACCACCUAGGAAGACCAGGUGCUGUGGGCG